CCUCUAAACGUGUUAUAUAUAUUUAGUGGCAACUUUAAUUGCCCCUAAAACUUAUUUUCCCAAUAAUUGCAAUAUCCAAUAUUUUCAUACAUUUUUAUGGUCACCUAAUAUCUAAAUUUUAAGAUACACGUACAUUGCCUACCAAUAAAGCAUCCAAUAUUAAUUAGUGAACACAAAUAAUUCUCAAGUUGAAUGAUAGCAGAUACUUUCAUAAUAAAAAAUAUUGUAUAUUGUUUAACGUCAGUGUACACAUAUGUGAUAAGAAAAAAGAACAUUGUGGCCUUCAAACUCGUCCUUCCUCGACAGCAUUUGUUUUCUAGAAUCUUAUCCCUGCAAUUAAGAGUAAAAACAUAUGAUUACUUUGACAAUUUUCAUAAUCUAAUAUUAAAAUAAAGAGGUAACCUUGGAGAAAAGAUUGCAAAUGCAUUUUAAGAAAAUAAAGAGACAAUAUUGAUCAAUGAAAGUUGUGCAACAUAGUUUAGUCCUAGCAUACUAAGCUCAAAUCUUAAAAAAUGCUAAGUGUAUUUCCCUACAGGAUAAAAGUGGAGCAACUAAAUAACUAAAACCCAAGACCACAAACAUGAGAACUUAAAAAAACUUAAUUCAAUAACAAAAAACAUACCCAGUGAAAUUCCACUAGUGGGGUCUAGAAAAGGUAAUGUUUAUGCAAACUUUACCCUUACCUCGAGAGGUAAAGAUGUUGUUUCCCACAGAGAGUCGCAUCAUGAACCACAUAUUUGUCCAAAAAAGUUCAUGCUCAUAUUUUAGAUAGGUCUCAUCACAAGUUUUUUAAAACACAACACAAGAAAUUUCCAAUCAUAUCAAUAUUUCUUGGGAAAAUGGAACUGUAAUAAAUUCCUGGAGGAAAUGUUAAUACAUCAGUUUUCUCCAGAUGUAGAGGAAACAUGCAAAAUGAGCUUGGCCACUCCUUCAGUACAAGUAACUGGACUUUGGAGAUCAUCUUGAAGCUACACUGUUGACCCUUUUGGACAAACUAUUUCAUUGUCGACACAAUUCAUUUGGUACUACAGCUUAGUAUUGUGGUAAACGAACUAUGUUAUUUUUCGGGGAAGGGUAUGUAAUGAUAUUGCCAAAUGUUGUGAUGCUUUUACUUUGGUAUAAGAUGUUGCCAUAUAUUUAGCUAUGUAAAAUCAUAAUGUGCAUACUCAAAUGCAAUAAAUAAACCCAUAACCAUGUUCCUUUUAAGAAGUAAUUUUUCUUUUAGCAAAACAAAUUUCCUAUUUAGUAGUAUUAUCAUUCAGUAGUGGCACAUCCAGGUCAUCUAAAGUACCAAGCAUUUGACCCUUUGACCUUUAUUUUUAUAAUUUAGACAGAUCUUGCAAGUUUCUAAAGUUGACAUAGUUAACUUGGACUUGUACUGGCUUGAUCCUAAACCUUUGAUGAAUUUUGUAUUAACAGUUAACCUAGUAUUUAAUUCUAGUGUUCUUGUGGAAAACGUAUUUAGAAAAUGGAGUGCAGCUAUAGGCACACAACGGACUGGAAAUUGAAACUCCAUACACUGACCUAACUAGUUUGGGAUUAAGGCAUAGUUCAUAUUGUACUUGUGAAAAAACAAUAAGGAGGAAAAAUGAUACAUAACAUGGGAAAAUUAACAGAAACUGGAAAGUCCUACACCGUAUUAAAUCGGUAACACCAUUGCCGAGCUUCGAUCACUACCCUUUUAUUUAUAUAAUUUUACCUCACAUAAGUGCAGACUAAGAAGUAUCAAUCUUCUAACAGUUAUGUUGCACAUCCAUCAUCCAGCAAAGCAGAAAAUUCUAAAAGAGGAAAGUAUUGAAGCUCAACAAGUAAUUCAAUCUGAAUUCGUCUUUUAAGGAAUUCAAGCAGAAUAGAGCUCGGCAACGGAUAAAGUAAGUAUACACAAACCUUACUCCAACCUCAAAGGUAGAGAGACUAUUUCCCAUAGACCCUAAAGAAUAUUAGUAUCUAUAUCAGCCUAAUAGAGAUCAGUUCUCUCAUAUCACACCCAUUAUACCAAAGUUAGGUACACAUAAGGUCUAGAAACAUACUUGAAUCCUUUCUACCAAAUAUUUAAGGCGUUCGAGCUAUCCCAACAAGAACUAUCACAUUUAAAUUUAAAUUACUUCAGUCGAGCACUAACCAGUAGAUUAGAAGUAGUUUUACAAUAAGGGACCUUGGCUAGUAGCAUUUCUUAAGCAAUGAGUAUGAAAAAUUAUCAAACUUCAAAGUGAGUUCCUUAUAUGAUAAGGGGUCACGUAUUUAUAGUGAAAAAUAAGACUCUACGUACCAUACUUUAUUUUUGGAAAAUCAAGACAAAUUCAGAAAAUCGAAAGGAUUCCCCUUUUUUUUGAAAAAUUGAAAAUCAGAGAUUAACAAGCAACAAAAUUAGGAAUUCAAAAAUUGGGGCUUUCCUUUUACCUAAAAAAAAGAUUCAGCGGCUAGAGAAUAUGAACACGGUGGUAAUGUUAUAGAAACAAACAUUUAAAUCAUUCAAUUCCUGCUAAUACAUAAACAAAUAAUUAGUAAAUAAGACAAGUUCUGCUAUAAGUUCUAAACUUAGCAGCAAGAGCCUCGCAAAGCCGCAAAAAACAGAACCUCGCAAAGCCGCAAAAACAUCAGAAGUUCGAUCACAGGGACCUAAUUAUUGAUCUUAAGCUAAAAAAAACUAGCAUAUAAGCUCAGGACCCAUAAAUAAUGAGAAGUGGGAGGAAAAAUAGGAUAUCGAGCCCACAUACCAGUGUCGCAUGAUGUGGGAGACUUCUUACAUUUCCAAAUUUGGUUUCAACUAGAGGAUCCUUCUACAGAUCCUUAAGCUCCUUCAACAUGCGCUUCAACGCCCAUAAAUUAGCUCGUAUACCUUCAAAUCAAAGCGCUAACCCAAAUAUAUAUUCAAUUUUUUCAUCAAAAUCCACUAAUCCCCAAAUUCAAGUAAAGUAGAAAACGAUUACAAACACAAAUUAAGGUCGCAGAAAUAAGAAAUCUUAAGCAUAUAAAAACAGAAAAUUAUGAGAUCUAAAGGAUUGUUCAUGCGAAAAAUCCUAGAUCUUUUAAUUAACAUUCAUAUGCAGAAGAUGUGGUAGUGAUUCAAUAUAGUGAAAUUGGAGACUUGUAUAGCUUGGAUUAGGGUUUUGAGCCAUUCCUAGGGAAGAAGUGGAAAAUGUUGUCCGUAGUCAUAUUUUAGGGCGGGAGUUCUUAGCGAGGUUCUAGAAUGUACACUAGA
RNAcentral lists this long non-coding RNA (3202 nucleotides) under Solanum tuberosum (potato). Its description in RNAcentral is "long non-coding RNA (STUB_LNC008031)". The record is from RNAcentral. Lineage: Eukaryota; Viridiplantae; Streptophyta; Magnoliopsida; Solanales; Solanaceae.